Molecule: transfer RNA, 74 nt
Filed under: Modicisalibacter ilicicola DSM 19980
Lineage: Bacteria; Pseudomonadati; Pseudomonadota; Gammaproteobacteria; Oceanospirillales; Halomonadaceae
Also listed under: 1 other name
Description: Halomonas ilicicola DSM 19980 tRNA
Rfam family: tRNA
About the family: Transfer RNA (tRNA) molecules are approximately 80 nucleotides in length. Their secondary structure includes four short double-helical elements and three loops (D, anti-codon, and T loops).
Source: Rfam by way of RNAcentral
GCCGGCGUAGCUCAGUCUGGUAGAGCAACGCACUCGUAAUGCGUAGGUCGGUGGUUCGAGUCCACUCGCCGGCA